CUCGUAGGCGGUUCGAUAAGUCGGGUGUGAAAUCUCCAGGCUCAACCUGGAGGCGCCACUCGAUACUGUCGUGACUUGAGUUCGGUAGAGGAGUAUGGAAUUCCCGGUGUAGCGGUGAAAUGCGCAGAUAUCGGGAGGAACACCCGUAGCGAAGGCGGUACUCUGGGCCGAAACUGACGCUGAGGAGCGAAAGCGUGGGGAGCGAACA
This 208-nucleotide ribosomal RNA is filed under the name uncultured bacterium. Its description in RNAcentral is "partial 16S ribosomal RNA". It matches the Rfam family "Bacterial small subunit ribosomal RNA", at positions 568 to 774 of the family's 1533-position model. The record is from RNAcentral.